AACCCGUGAUGAGGACAAUCUCUCUGAUAUCCCUUGAACCUUUCCCACGCAGCUUUGAAAGAUUCUGAACGAAUGUUGAGAUCUUAGCUCGCAGAU
This is a non-coding RNA of Arabis alpina (gray rockcress), 96 nucleotides long. Lineage: Eukaryota; Viridiplantae; Streptophyta; Magnoliopsida; Brassicales; Brassicaceae. The record is from Rfam.